AUUUUAUCUUUAUACAUUUGUUGCAUGUGGCUAGUGCAAAUAAAGUACAAAUCUCUCUAUCCAUAACACACACAAAACACAGAUGUUGAUUUCUGGAUAAACUUAUGUAAAUCACUACACAUGUGUCUGAAUUUAUUCAUGCAAAAAUUUUGAAAAAGCAGUUUUAGAUUCUCCUUUAUAGGGAGCUUUAAAGUGAUUUAAAAUAUACACCUGUACGUAUUAAUAUGAUUUGAUGUUCAUACGAUAUUUUCUAAGUAACUUGUCUUUGUUUUUUUUCCUGAGACAGGAUCUCACUCUGUCACCCAGGCUGGAGUACAGUGGUGCGAUCUCAACUUACUGCAACCUCCGCCUCCCGGUUCAAGCGAUUCGCCUGCCUCUGCCUUAGCUAUGUCCCUUUCAGAAAAAUUCUACUUCAAGAGAAGAUUUGGUUUCAGG
This 435-nucleotide long non-coding RNA is filed under the name Homo sapiens (human). RNAcentral describes it as "non-protein coding lnc-HDDC2-1:1". Lineage: Eukaryota; Metazoa; Chordata; Mammalia; Primates; Hominidae. The record is from RNAcentral.